GGCUACUUCAAACCAUCGCGAACUCGUCCAAGUUGCUUCGGCGGCGCGGCACCCCUUAACGGGGGCGCCGCAGCCCUGCCUCUCCGGAGGUUCGGGGCGCCCGCCGGAGGUACGAAACUCUGUAUUAUAGUGGCAUCUCUGAGUAUAAAACAAAUAAGUUAAAACUUUCAACAACGGAUCUCUUGGUUCUGGCAUCGAUGAAGAACGCAGCGAAAUGCGAUAAGUAAUGUGAAUUGCAGAAUUCAGUGAAUCAUCGAAUCUUUGAACGCACAUUGCGCCCGGUAGUACUCUACCGGGCAUGCCUGUUCGAGCGUCAUUUCAACCCUCAAGCCCUGCUUGGUGUUGGGGCCCUACGGCUGCCGUAGGCCCUGAAAGGAAGUGGCGGGCUCGCUACAACUCCGAGCGUAGUAAUUCAUUAUCUCGCUAGGGAGGUUGCGGCGUGCUCCUGCCGUUAAAGACCCAUCUUUAACCAAGGUUGACCUCGGAUCAGGUAGGAAUACCCGCUGAACUUAAGCAUAUCAAUAAGCGGAGGAAAAGAAACCAACAGGGAUUGCCCUAGUAACGGCGAGUGAAGCGGCAACAGCUCAAAUUUGAAAUCUGGCUUCGGCCCGAGUUGUAAUUUGUAGAGGAUGCUUUUGGUGAGGUGCCUUCUGAGUUCCCUGGAACGGGACGCCAGAGAGGGUGAGAGCCCCGUAUAGUCGGCCACCGAUCCUUUGUAAAGCUCCUUCGACGAGUCGAGUAGUUUGGGAAUGCUGCUCAAAAUGGGAGGUAUAUCUCUUCUAAAGCUAAAUAUAGGCCAGAGACCGAUAGCGCACAAGUAGAGUGAUCGAAAGAUGAAAAGCACUUUGAAAAGAGGGUUAAAUAGCACGUGAAAUUGUUGAAAGGGAAGCGCUUGUGACCAGACUUGUGCCGGGCUGAUCAUCCAGUGUUCUCACUGGUGCACUCGACCCGGCUCAGGCCAGCGUCGGUUUUCGUGGGGGGAUAAAAGCUUCGGGAACGUGGCACCUUCGGGUGUGUUAUAGCCCGUUGCUUAAUACCUCCGUGGAGACCGA
Molecule: ribosomal RNA, 1052 nt
Filed under: Sordariomycetes sp. genotype 3
Lineage: Eukaryota; Fungi; Ascomycota; Sordariomycetes
Description: eukaryotic LSU rRNA
Rfam family: Eukaryotic large subunit ribosomal RNA (bases 477-1052)
Source: RNAcentral